CUGUCUCAGAAUACCUGUUUCCAAGCAACAGUCCCCCUUCCUUGUUUGAUUACAUGUAAGUGCAUUCAACAGAUAUGAGUUAAGCACUUACUGUAUUCCCUUGUUCCAGAACAAGGGAAUACAUAAAUGAAAGAACUCUAGACUUUAAAGAGCUUAAAUUUUGAAAAGAACGGAUUUUGACACAUAUAUAAACAAGUGUGGCAGAUUAUCCUAAGUGUUUUAUUAAAAGUGUGCAGCCACUGACUAUCAAGUUUCCAAUGAGAUCUGAAUGAGGGAGGGAGCAGGGAGGGAGUGUUCAUCUCAAGCUGAAUGCUGUAAAGUGAAUAGAUAUUUGCUAAACAAUGCAUAACAACACUGAAUAAGCAGAAGAGUUGGAGCUCAAGUUUUGAGUAGACCAGAAGAGAAUUGGAGAAUGAAGAAGGUAUAUGGAGAGAGAGAGAGAGACUGGAACUAUAUCAUUGGGUCUUCCUGGUCUCCAGUUUGCCAACUGCAGAUCCUUGGACUUUGUCAACUUUUAUAAUCAUGCAAGUUCUACUGAAGGUCAACAAGAUAGUCAUAGAAAGAUCAAGGCUUAGAUGCAACUAGAUGAAGACUCCAAUGAAGAUGUGAUUUAUUUUCUUUAUCCAAUGCAACAGCAAUCAUCCCCAGGCUAAUAGCACCAUGUAUCUCGGAGGACCUAAGGUAGAAGCACUAACAUGAUGGAUGGAGAGGCUUUGGCAGUGCCCUGCAUACAAUACUAUACUUGCCUGGGAGGUUCCUUGGGAACUGCUUAAAGCAGCAUUUUCUCUUUGGAAGUUUUCUGUGUUCUAAUGCUGAUGACAAGAAACAGACAAGUUAUACUUUCAAAGACAUGAGGUACCUGUGGAGUCUAAGAAGACUAGUUUAUUGAAAACUCACGAAUGCCUAAUCAGAUGAUUCUGAAGAUUAGCGAUAUAAAAGAAUGAUUGGGUUCUUCCAGCUCCAGCCUGACCCUCCAUUUCAAGUUCAGGUUCCUACAACUGGAUGUUUCCUGGCCAUUUUGAAAAGUUAUUGCAUUCUAUUUGAGACAAGAUCAGUGGAGGUCAAAGGUCAGAACACUUGACUGGAGGAUAACAAGCUAAUUUGCUUGAAGAAAGAAAGAAAGGAAGGAAGGAAGAAAGAAAGGGUUUGGAUUUCCUAAAUUCAGGGCUCCUCAACUGUGAUACAUAACCACAUGAGUGCAAUAGACCUCUGACACCUUCACUUCAAAUCUGUGGGACUGGAGAGGCAAAAGUGAUGCAAACACCAUACCCAUGGGCUUAGUGUGCCAAGAGUAAGCUGUUCCUUUAUCUCUAACUCAGGAUUUUCAUGUCUUCUACCAACAUGCCUAUGACUUUAACAAACUACUUUGUUAGCUUCUAAGCAGUGUAAAAUCUCAGACUUUUCAUGACAAAUUUAAAAGGACAGUCUCUUCAAAAAUGGUGUUAGUGAAACUGAAUAUUCAUAUGUGGAAGAAUUAAUAGGACCUUAUUUCACAUCAUAUACAAAAAUCAACACAAAAUGGACUAAAGAUUUAAACAUACACUGAAAACCUUAACAUUACUAGAAAAUAACAUAAGGAAAAGGAUUUUUGACUUUGGUCUAGGCAAUGAUUUUUCGGAUAUAACACCAAAGGCACACAGGCAACAAAGGAAAAAUAGAAAAGUGAGUUUGUGUCAAACUGAAAGCCAUCUGCAAGGCAAAGAAAACAACCAAGAGAGUGAAAAAAAAAAAUCUAUGAGAGAUAUAGGGUGAAAUCUAUGGAAAAAUGGGAGGAAAUAUUUGCAAGCCAUCUCUCUGAUAAGAAGUUAAUAUCCAAAAAUAAACAAGGAACUCCUACAAUUCAAUAGUAAAAAAAAAAAA
Molecule: long non-coding RNA, 1860 nt
Organism: Canis lupus familiaris (dog)
Lineage: Eukaryota; Metazoa; Chordata; Mammalia; Carnivora; Canidae
Exons: 10
Source: RefSeq, a predicted model, not a curated record